This 71-nucleotide transfer RNA is filed under the name Marmota monax (woodchuck). Its description in RNAcentral is "tRNA.Ala". The record is from RNAcentral. Lineage: Eukaryota; Metazoa; Chordata; Mammalia; Rodentia; Sciuridae.
GUGUUUGUGGCUUAGUGAUAGAGUGCUUGCCUCGCAUGUGAGAAGCACUGGGUUUGAUCCUCAGCACCACA